Haplochromis burtoni (Burton's mouthbrooder) is the source of this 1864-nucleotide long non-coding RNA. RefSeq lists it as uncharacterized. The record is from RefSeq and is a predicted model, not a curated record. The transcript is spliced from 2 exons. Lineage: Eukaryota; Metazoa; Chordata; Actinopteri; Cichliformes; Cichlidae.
UUUUUUUUUUUUUUUUUAUCCUUUGUGUGUGGGGGGGUUUUCAGCCUCGUUUUUAACCAACUCCACUUUCCAGUCUUUCCACAAAUUGAGCUCCGGUGCAGGGCGUUCACCACGCGGGGAAGAGCUGGUUUCAGCACCAUGGAUAGAUUACUUGUACAUUUCAGGACCAUGGAGAGCGCUCUUCUUUCACCCAUCGUUUUUAGGCGCUGUGGGGUUUUGUUGUUGUUUCUGUGAACACUGGACUAGUCAUUCUUUGCUGUAAAGGUCGGCUUGCCUCUGCAACUUUUGUUAAGAAGGAGAUCCUAAAGUGGCUGAGGGCCUGCGCAACCGACACUACGAAAAUGAGAUGAAUGGAGCCCCAUCAUCGUUGCAUUCAUUAAGUGCUGUGGACAUUCUCAUAGGGAACAAAGGAUCAAAACUGUCCUUUGUGGGUCUUUUUGCGGUCUGGGCUUGCUGUUCCUAAGGCAGUAGCCAGGAAGCCCUUACCCCAAAAAGUAUCUGCACUGGAUUCUGGCAUCUGAAGCAGAAAUCACCCUUUUUUCUUUCUGAUAAAUCAUUGCAUAUCUUCCCUGUGAGUUUUGAAAUGAGGACACUAUAUAUUGAUUGCAUUGAGUUGCUUUAAGAACCUAAGCAAGUUGUGGCUUUUGAUUGGUUCAAAACAGAAGAACUUACCUUUUUAAAUUGGAAGAAUUUUAGAAGCUUAAUGCAGGAUGUGGCACAACACAUGUCUGCAACCUGAGAAAAAUCAGAUCGGAAAGAAUCUUAUUACAGUAAGAAACAGCAAGAAAGAGACACGAGCUUUAUUCAUCAGUCUGGUAAAGCUCCACUUUCCAAAGUGAGCUUUAAUAUCAAAUUUCUUUCUGGGAAAAAUCUUAUAGUGUGCCAGUUUAGACACACCAGGCAGUGUAAUCCACGUAGCAACUUGUCUUACUUUGUCAGAUUUGACAAAAAAACCCCAAAAAUUCCCACUUAGAUCUGUCAUAUCUCAUUAAUGUGGAACACUUUUGCUUUUUCUUUGUCAUGCAAUGCAAAUAAUGCAUUAUUUCUUUUACAUAUGUUGGCACUUAUAUAUGUUACUAGAAGAAUCUUCAACAGAUGCUGUCUUCAUGCAUUCCUAUGUAGACUGUGUUGUACACGUUCAAUGAUUUUUUAUCGUCUCUGCCUAGUCAGUUGUUUAUGAAAGUGCAUAGAGAAAUACAACAUGAUUGGGUAAGGCAUUUAUGACUGUCUGAUCCUUUGUACACUUUCAGUGUAUUCCAAGUGCAUCUAUGCCUUCCUCAUAUUUUCAUGCUACCGUAUAGUGGUGUACUAUUGUAGAAGGAACUAAUAGGAUGGCAUUUUCUCAUUGAGACAUACAUUUUAAAAUGUAACCCCAGAAACUGCAUUAACAGGAUGUAAAUAGUGACUAAAUAAGCUAAGAGGAAAUUGUUGUGUAGCUCCAAGGCUUUGACGUUCUAUGUGUUACAUAAACAUGAUUAUUUAUCCUGCCAAUGCCACAAGCCUUCACAAUGUACUUUUUAUACAUCAAAACCCGAGGCACUUUCUGUGCACUUCACUGGCCAUGUGACUUCAUCGCUUGGGGAGCGUUUUUAUGCCUGCAUAUAGCACACGAGGGUGCACGAGGCAUUCUUUACGGUAUCAUGAGCAAUUACAAUUAGGAGAACAUGUUAAGUGAUGUUAUGCUGAUGAGCUUGUCCCUUAUGGUUAUGGCAGUGAUCAACUUUUUGCACCCUUCUACUCCUUUGACACUUUUCUAUUUCUUUUCCUUUCAAAACCUCUAGAAGCUUCCUUGUAGUAACGUGAAUGUUCCCUGUUAAAUGUUGUGCCUUGUUAAAUAUAGCUGAAAUAAAAUUUUGAUGGAGUA